Non-coding RNA from Delphinapterus leucas (beluga whale), 868 nucleotides. NCBI's taxonomy places the organism in Eukaryota, Metazoa, Chordata, Mammalia, Artiodactyla, Monodontidae. The record is from RefSeq and is a predicted model, not a curated record.
UUUAAAGUAAGGUACUGAUAUUAUUCAAUCUGAUUGCUUGAAACUAGGUAUGAUUUCAUCUGGCAGCCUGUUCAGAAGUGAAUGGAAGCUGUGUGCUUCUCCACCAGAGUCAUUACAGCGCAUGCUAAAUGUCCUGUGGAACAGAAAGAGAUACCCUCUAUUGCACAGAUGCGAAUACUGAGGCUCUGUGAAGUCAGGAAGCACCAGGCAUGCUCAAUUUUACAACUUAAGAAACCGAAGAGGAAUGGUUGGCUGCUGAAUUUGGGAUUCAAGUUUAAAUUCUCAUUUAAAGAAUUGCUUGAUCAACCAAAGCGUGUCUCCUGAUGAAAACAGACUGUUCCUCAAAGAACAAAUUAAGGACUUUCAGUCCUGGAGGUAAAACACUGUGAGUUCAUCAUGCAGUGCUGUAAAAUAAAUGUGUUAUGUGCCUGGCAACUCUGUCACACAAUCAACAGGAAGCCUGAAAUGCUGAGAUGGGCUGAUUUGCACAUUUUCAUGAGGUACUUGCAAAUGCAAUCAAAAUAAGCCAAUAGGAUUUAGAACUUCUUGCUAUGACUCAGCCUCUUAAACUUUGUUAAAAAAAUCUCCUAACAAACCAUUUAUUUCCUACUGAAUGAAUAUGUUGCAUUUUUAAAAGCCAUUUCAAAUUCCAAGUUCUGUUUGGAAGUACCAGUGUACUUUAAUAAGAAUGAGUUCUGAAAGAGCCUAGUGGUGUAGCGCACAGAGCAGAGGAACUGCAGUCUUUAAUCUCUAUGAUGUCCUUUCUCUUUCUCCCUCUUUUUCUUUGUCAUUUUCCCCACCCUUCUGUCUUCUGCCUUUUCUCUCCUUUAUUGUCUUUUAGUCUCCAGUUCAAACUUUGUUCAUGGUG